GAUGAAGAACGCAGCGAAAUGCGAUACUUGGUGUGAAUUGCAGAAUCCCGUGAACCAUCGAGUCUUUGAACGCAAGUUGCGCCCGAAGCCACUAGGCCGAGGGCACGCCUGCCUGGGCGUCACACGCCGUUGCCCCCCCAUCUACUCCUUCGGGAUUGCGGGGGGGCGGAUGAUGGCCUCCCGUGCGCCUAGCCGCGCGGUUGGCAUAAAUACCAAGUCCUCGGCGACGCACGCCACAACAAUCGGUGGUUGCGAAACCUCGGUUGCCCGUCGUGUGCGUUCGUCGCGCAUCGAGGGCUCGAAAAAAUGCUCGGCUCCGGCUGGGCUUUCAACGCGACCCCAGGUCAGGCGGGGUUACCCGCUGAAUUUAAGCAUAUCAAUAAGCGGAGGA
This 391-nucleotide unclassified non-coding RNA is filed under the name soil metagenome. RNAcentral describes it as "partial contains 5.8S ribosomal RNA, internal transcribed spacer 2, and large subunit ribosomal RNA". The stretch from base 1 to 122 matches the Rfam family "5.8S ribosomal RNA", at positions 35 to 154 of the family's 154-position model. The record is from RNAcentral.